Molecule: ribosomal RNA, 366 nt
Filed under: uncultured Succinivibrio sp.
Lineage: Bacteria; Pseudomonadati; Pseudomonadota; Gammaproteobacteria; Aeromonadales; Succinivibrionaceae
Description: bacterial SSU rRNA
Rfam family: Bacterial small subunit ribosomal RNA
Source: RNAcentral
UGGGGAAUAUUGCACAAUGGGCGAAAGCCUGAUGCAGCAACGCCGCGUGAGGGAAGACGGUUUUCGGAUUGUAAACCUCUGUUUUCGGUGACGAACAAAUGACGGUAACCGAGUAGGAAGCCACGGCUAACUACGUGCCAGCAGCCGCGGUAAUACGUAGGUGGCAAGCGUUAUCCGGAAUAACUGGGCGUAAAGGGCAUACAGGCGGUUCAUCAAGUAGGAUGUGAAAUCCCCGGGCUCAACCUGGGAACAGCAUACUAAACUGGUGGACUAGAGUACUGCAGGGGGAGACGGAAUUCCAGGUGUAGCGGUGGAAUGCGUAGCUAUCUGGAAGAACACCAAAAGGCGAAGGCAGUCUCCUGGGCA